UACGGGGGGGUGCGAGCGUUGUCCGGAAUCACUGGGCGUAAAGGGCGCGUAGGUGGUUUGAUAAGGGUAUGGUGAAAGUCCGGAGCUCAACUCCGGAUCUGCCGUGCCGACUGUCAAACUCGAGGGCUGUAGAGGCAGACGGAAUUCCGGGUGUAGCGGUGGAAUGCGUAGAGAUCCGGAGGAAGACCGGUGGCGAAGGCGGUCUGCUGGGCAGUUUCUGACACUGAGGCGCGACAGCGUGGGGAGCAAACAGG
This 254-nucleotide ribosomal RNA is filed under the name uncultured bacterium. RNAcentral describes it as "partial 16S ribosomal RNA". It matches the Rfam family "Bacterial small subunit ribosomal RNA", at positions 524 to 776 of the family's 1533-position model. The record is from RNAcentral.